AGUGAUACCCGGUCCCACUCAGCAGAGAUUCUGGUGAAAUUGGUUUGGGAUCGGGCUCGCACACCGGUAGGUUGGAAGAGUUCCCCAGGUGAUGCUAAUGUGUAGCUGGGCUUGAGAACCACUGCAAUCGGGGCUGACCAGUGAAGUGAUUUGCUUCUGAUAACCUGAAAACCCGAAUCCACAUGGGUCUGAUCCUCCACUCUGGGGUUCUUCCGACAAACUCAGAGUUCUCCGUGGCUUUGGCAUCUGUCUGAAUCGAAAGCAAAUUCUUGGCGAUCAAGUCUACUCCUCCUUAAUCCAAAGGGAAUCCAAUUCGCUUCAAAUACAGUGCCAAAAGAACUUCUGUUUUUCGUUUUGUUUUGUUUGGUGAGGAAGAUGGGCCUGAGCUAACGUCUGUGCCAGUCUUUCUGUAUUUUGUAUGUGGGAUGCUGCCACAGCAUGGCUUGAUGAGUGCUGUGUAGGUCCUGCCCAGGAUCCGGGCCUGCGAACCCCGGGCUCCCGAGGCAAAGCACGCAAACUUAACCACUACACCACCAGGCCGGCCCCAAGCGCUUCUGGUUUUUGCCUCUCUCUCAAACUGUUCGUGUGUUUCAUGCCUGGGAACUGCAUUCUUCAGCCAAGUUGGAGAAAUCCCUAUAAAAAUAGUCCCCUUUCCUGAGUGCCUGGUGUAGUUAAGGCACUUGACAUGCAGUUUCAUUUAAUCCCCAGAACCCUCUUACGAGGUGAGUUUUGUUGACACCAGUUUAUAGAUGAGCAAACUGACAUGCAGAGAGGCUAAGGAUUCUAACCUGUGUCUAAGCUGAUACAGCUGGGAUUCCAACCCAAGCAUUCAUGUGCUUCCCCUCACCACCUGUGCCUCCCGCGCUGCCCAGAGCACGGGGCAGCUGGCAGACAGUGGCGUUGUGCCCUGGAUCCGCAGAGGAAAGACGACUCUGUGAAGGGGGCCUUUCGGGGGCCUGUUUCAUCAACCACCACCCCCAGGUGAUGGGGCUGCUUCCGGAACUGCACUGUGCACAUCACUGUGCUACAGUAUACUUUUCAAAAGGAUUGAUAUUCUCCAACACAGAGCGGAUCGAUGCACGUAAUUCUUGCAGAUUUCCUUUGGCUUUGCGCCGUGAGGGAGGGAGACAGUUGGAAACGUCCUGAUUUUGAGAGGAAGCCGGUGUUUCCUGAAGCCUUUGUUUUGGGUGCGCCUUAACCGCACCUGCGUUUCUUGCAGCUUCUUACAAAGAAACUUCUUUUUUUGUUUUGAGAGUCAAAAUAGUUGAACUGAAGUUAUUUUCAACCGGAGGGAAAUGUUUGAAAGCUCAGCCUUUGUGAGCCCAAAGAGCAUUGUUUCAUCGACAGUGAUUGAAACAGUCAUUUCCUUUGGGAAGUCUUUGCCAUUGAAGCAAACUUUGAUUUUGGAAGCAAAAGUUUUGGCUUUAAAGAUGGGAUCCAAGUGUUACACCUUCUUCUCAUAGCUCCCCGGCCAUUUAUCGGAGUGCUGUGAUAGUAAGGUUGUUUGCAUUUGAACAGAAAGACCUGCUCUGGCCAGCUGGGCUGAUGCUAAGAGGCAGUAUAGUUCAGUGGUGAGGAGCACAUCCCUUACAGCUGGGCUGCCUGGGUUUGCCUCACUCUGCCACUUGCAAGCUGGAAUCUUCGGCAAAUUACAUAACUGUCCCGAACUUCAGUUUCUGCCUUUAUAAAAUGGGGAUGAAGAUAGUAUUUAUUUCCUAUGAUUUUUUAUAAUUAUUAAUUAACAUAAUAAAAAGUACUUAAAUCCAA
This 1767-nucleotide long non-coding RNA is filed under the name Equus asinus (donkey). RNAcentral describes it as "lncRNA (ENSEASG00005032125.1)". The record is from RNAcentral. Lineage: Eukaryota; Metazoa; Chordata; Mammalia; Perissodactyla; Equidae.